Molecule: ribosomal RNA, 403 nt
Filed under: Fusobacteriota bacterium
Lineage: Bacteria; Fusobacteriati; Fusobacteriota
Description: Fusobacteria bacterium partial 16S ribosomal RNA
Rfam family: Bacterial small subunit ribosomal RNA
Source: RNAcentral
UGGGGAAUAUUGCACAAUGGAGGGAACUCUGAUGCAGCGACGCCGCGUGAACGAAGAAGGCUUUCGAGUCGUAAAGUUCUUUUACAUGGGAAGAUAAUGACGGUACCAUAAGAAAAAGCCCCGGCUAACUACGUGCCAGCAGCCGCGGUAAUACGUAGGGGGCUAGCGUUGUCCGGAAUCACUGGGCGUAAAGGGUUCGCAGGCGGAAAUGCAAGUCAGGUGUAAAAGGCAGUAGCUUAACUACUGUAAGCAUUUGAAACUGCAUAUCUUGAGAAGAGUAGAGGUAAGGGGAAUUUUUAGUGGAGCGGUGAAAUGCGUAGAUAUUAAAAAGAAUACCGGGGGGGAAGGCGGCUUACUGGGCUCAUUCUGACGCUGAGGAACGAAAGCGGGGGUAGCAAACAGG